RNAcentral lists this ribosomal RNA (572 nucleotides) under uncultured bacterium. Its description in RNAcentral is "bacterial SSU rRNA". It matches the Rfam family "Bacterial small subunit ribosomal RNA", at positions 38 to 638 of the family's 1533-position model. The record is from RNAcentral.
GGCGGCGUGCUUAACACAUGCAAGUCGAACGGGCUCUUCGGAGCUAGUGGCGGACGGGUGAGUAAUACAUAGGAAAUCUGCCUUUAAGUGGGGGACAACCAGCCGAAAGGUUGGCUAAUACCGCGUAAUAUUGUUGGUUGAGAUACUGACAAAGAAAGAUUUAUCGCUUUUAGAGGAGCCUAUGGUUGAUUAGCUAGUUGGUGGGGUAAAAGCCUACCAAGGCGACGAUCAAUAGCUGGUCUGAGAGGACGAUCAGCCACACUGGGACUGAGACACGGCCCAGACUUCUACGGAAGGCAGCAGUGGGGAAUUUUCCGCAAUGGGCGCAAGCCUGACGGAGCGACGCCGCGUAUGGGAUGAAGUAUUUCGGUAUGUAAACCAUUGUCAGUGGGGACGAAACAAAUGACGGUACCCACAGAGGAAGCAUCGGCUAACUACGUGCCAGCAGCCGCGGUAAUACGUAGGAUGCAAGCGUUGUUCGGAAUUACUGGGCGUAAAGAGUACGUAGGCGGUAUGGUAAGUCUGACAUUAAAGACUGAGGCUUAACCUCAGGACUGUAUCGGAAACUGCCC